CUCAUAUCACGUUGAAACAUCGGGUCUUUUACGUUCACGGAAGUUAAGCAAUGCUGAGCCUGGUGACUAUCUAGAUGGGUGACCGCUCGGGAAUACUUGGUGUUGUAAG
Molecule: non-coding RNA, 109 nt
Organism: Acanthosepion pharaonis
Lineage: Eukaryota; Metazoa; Mollusca; Cephalopoda; Sepiida; Sepiidae
Source: the annotation of a GenBank genome assembly